This 243-nucleotide long non-coding RNA is filed under the name Rattus norvegicus (Norway rat). RNAcentral's name for it is "long non-coding RNA NONRATT005692". The record is from RNAcentral. Lineage: Eukaryota; Metazoa; Chordata; Mammalia; Rodentia; Muridae.
AGAGUCAAGAAGUCUGACAACGGGACCUACAACUGUAUUGCUAGCUCAUCUCUGAAAACGGAGACCAUGGACUUCCACCUGGUUGUUAAAGACAAAGUUCCUGUCAUGCCGAUAGAGCCCAUCAUUGCUGCUUGUGUUGUGGUCUUCCUGACGCUGGCUUUUGCACUGCUUUCUAGGAGGGAAAGAAUAAUGAAGCUCUGCGUGAAAGAGAGUGGCCGGAAUUCAGAAACAGCUCUGUAAGUG